CAAUCAAACCGGGAGAUAGCUGGUUCUCCCCGAAAGCUAUUUAGGUAGCGCCUCGUGAAUUCAUCUCCGGGGGUAGAGCACUGUUUCGGCUAGGGGGCCAUCCCGGCUUACCAACCCGAUGCAAACUGCGAAUACCGGAGAAUGUUAUCACGGGAGACACACGGCGGGUGCUAACGUCCGUCGUGAAGAGGGAAACAACCCAGACCGCCAGCUAAGGUCCCAAAGUCAUGGUUAAGUGGGAAACGAUGUGGGAAGGCCCAGACAGCCAGGAUGUUGGCUUAGAAGCAGCCAUCAUUUAAAGAAAGCGUAAUAGCUCACUGGUCGAGUCGGCCUGCGCGGAAGAUGUAACGGGGCUAAACCAUGCACCGAAGCUGCGGCAGCGAACGUAUCACCCAAGACAACUUUACGGAGUUGACGAUUGACGGAGCGAAGCGACGUCAAAGCGUUCAUUAAAGUCGAGUUGGCUUAGGGAUACGUUCGUUGGGUAGGGGAGCGUUCUGUAAGCCUGUGAAGGUGUGUCGUGAGGCAUGCUGGAGGUAUCAGAAGUGCGAAUGCUGACAUAAGUAACGAUAAAGCGGGUGAAAAGCCCGCUCGCCGGAAGACCAAGGGUUCCUGUCCAACGUUAAUCGGGGCAGGGUGAGUCGACCCCUAAGGCGAGGCCGAAAGGCGUAGUCGAUGGGAAACGGGUUAAUAUUCCCGUACUUGGUGUUACUGCGAAGGGGGGACGGAGAAGGCUAUGUUGGCCGGGCGACGGUUGUCCCGGUUUAAGCGUGUAGGUGUGUGUUCCAGGUAAAUCCGGUUCACUUUAACACUGAGGCGUGACGACGAGGCACUACGGUGCUGAAGCAACAAAUGCCCUGCUUCCAGGAAAAGCCUCUAAGCAU
This 884-nucleotide ribosomal RNA is filed under the name Salmonella enterica subsp. enterica serovar Typhimurium. RNAcentral's name for it is "partial 23S ribosomal RNA". It matches the Rfam family "Bacterial large subunit ribosomal RNA", at positions 830 to 1629 of the family's 2925-position model. The record is from RNAcentral. Lineage: Bacteria; Pseudomonadati; Pseudomonadota; Gammaproteobacteria; Enterobacterales; Enterobacteriaceae.